Molecule: transfer RNA, 75 nt
Filed under: Roseomonas sp.
Lineage: Bacteria; Pseudomonadati; Pseudomonadota; Alphaproteobacteria; Acetobacterales; Roseomonadaceae
Also listed under: 2 other names
Description: tRNA-Val
Rfam family: tRNA
About the family: Transfer RNA (tRNA) molecules are approximately 80 nucleotides in length. Their secondary structure includes four short double-helical elements and three loops (D, anti-codon, and T loops). Further hydrogen bonds mediate the characteristic L-shaped molecular structure. tRNAs have two regions of fundamental functional importance: the anti-codon, which is responsible for specific mRNA codon recognition, and the 3' end, to which the tRNAs corresponding amino acid is attached (by aminoacyl-tRNA synthetases). tRNAs cope with the degeneracy of the genetic code in two manners: having more than one tRNA (with a specific anti-codon) for a particular amino acid; and 'wobble' base-pairing, i.e. permitting non-standard base-pairing at the 3rd anti-codon position.
Source: RNAcentral
GGGCGCUUAGCUCAGCGGUAGAGCGCCUGUCUUACACACAGGAUGUCGGCGGUUCGACCCCGUCAGCGCCCACCA